UUUUAGCCCUGAUAGUAGUGGCAUCCUUUUUUAUGUACCGCAAUUAGCCUAAAUAAGCAAUCCUUUGGUAUACCCUAAAAUUACAGUUAAUAAGCCCAUAGCUUACCCAUAAAAAAGAUAUAACGGAUAGCAGGAAAUAGC
Molecule: small RNA, 141 nt
Filed under: Algibacter pectinivorans
Lineage: Bacteria; Pseudomonadati; Bacteroidota; Flavobacteriia; Flavobacteriales; Flavobacteriaceae
Description: Pontirhabdus pectinovorans Flavo-1 RNA
Rfam family: Flavo-1 RNA
Source: Rfam by way of RNAcentral